This 546-nucleotide long non-coding RNA is filed under the name Capsicum annuum. RNAcentral describes it as "long non-coding RNA (CANN_LNC009436)". Lineage: Eukaryota; Viridiplantae; Streptophyta; Magnoliopsida; Solanales; Solanaceae. The record is from RNAcentral.
CUUUCUUUUGAUAUAUGGUAGCUCAACCAGUUCAUUAUAUUGAGGGAGUUAUGAUCGUUCAAAGUUGACCCAAAAAACUGGCAGGCCUCAGUAGUUUCCUGCACAUUUUACUGUUCACAUCCCGGCCACCGUUUCAAAGAUCUUUCUUUUGAUAUGUGGUAGCUCUCCCAGUUCAUUAUAUUGAGGGAGUUAUGAUCGUUCAAAGUUGACCCAAAAAACUGGACGGCCUCAGUAGUUUGUGUGCAGGAAAUUUUGCUGCACAUUUACUGUUCACAACAUCCCGGCCGCCGUUUUAUAGUUUCGAACGUGCUCGAUUAUAUCCGAAACUUAUCCGUUUUUGGAAAUCUUUAUAUCGUUGGAAAGCUUAUUCAAUAACCUUCGUAUGGAACCAUCGACGGGAAAAUUCCGAUAUAAAUAAAGUCGAUUCCUAUACACCUAUAAUCAAACUAUACACUUGAAACCAUCUCAAAAUAAUCAAUACUCAUACUUAAACUCAUAUAUACCUAACUUAGGAUCAAUACAUAUACUCCAACACAUAUAACAAUG